This is a long non-coding RNA of Oncorhynchus tshawytscha (Chinook salmon), 3047 nucleotides long. Lineage: Eukaryota; Metazoa; Chordata; Actinopteri; Salmoniformes; Salmonidae. The record is from Ensembl.
CUUCCCUCAAUAAGCCUUAAGUUCUAUAAGUUAGUAAAUAAGUUAGAGCCCUCAUUUACUAAAGACACUUAAUUGGUUCAUUAAUAAAUGCAAUCAAGUCAUCACAAUAUCAUAACGAGUCCAAAACGAUCUACUACAGAACAUUGAAACCUGACAAAAAAACAUCUAAAUAAAUUUAAAUGGAUACAAAAAGCUAAAAUCUAAAAUGAUAGAAAUAGAGAUAGCAGAAUGGGGGAGAUGUAGAUUGUCUUUGUUGAAUGGUACAUUGAUUAGUUUAUCGCUUCUAUGAUCACAGUCCUGGUCAGUCAGUCAUCUAUACAUCUGUGCAAAAUGUGUCCAAAUUCACUGAAGCUGAGAUAAUAUGGAUAUUAAAGGGGAAGUUCAGGAUUUUACAACUUAAUGUUAGAUUGUUCCUCACCCUGAAAGUGUUCAAUGGUUCAGGAGAAACUGAAGUCCCUGGUUCGAUUUCUUUUUAAAACAGCCAUUAAAAACUUCAGCUAACUUUAAAAGCCAAAGUCCAAAAUACUGAACGUCCCCUUUAAUGACACUAAGGCUGGGAUUCAUUCAAAUCCUCAUUAGAUCUGCCUCAUGACAUUUAAAGGUCAUUUCCAAUUGAGCUGACAUUAGAUCUGCCUCAUGACAUUUAAAGGUCAUUUCCAAUUGAGCUGACAUUAGAUCUGCCUCAUGACAUUUAAAGGUCAUUUCCAAUUGAGCUGACAUUAGAUCUGCCUCAUGACAUUUAAAUGUCAUUUCCAAUUGAGCUGACAUUAGAUCUGCCUCAUGACAUUUAAAGGUCAUUUCCAAUUGAGCUGACAUUAGAUCUGCCUCAUGACAUUUAAAGGUCAUUUCCAAUUGAGCUGACAUUAGAUCUGCCUCAUGACAUUUAAAGGUCAUUUCCAAUUGAGCUGACAUAAGCAGCGUUUACCGUGAAUGUGGUCUCCACGAACGUGGGAGCAUGGUCUUUAAAAAGGUGCUGGGCCGAUCGGAUUGAAUCCUGGCCUCAAACUGCUGACAACCUCACAGCUGUCUAUACUGUACAUAAAGUUGGCUAGAGGGCACAUGUUCAAUAACGGUUUCUGUUCAUGUGCAUCCUCUAACUCUAUGGUGUCUGUGCCUGCAUACAAAACGGCAACAUUCCCUUUAAAAUGCACUACUUUUGACCAGAGCCCUAUGAGGAAUAUAUAUAUAGGGAAUAGAGUGGCAUUUGGGACGGAGGAUGUUGCCGUCUGUCUGUAUGAGUCCUCGCUCCGCUGUCCUGUUGGAGGGACAUUGUGCUCUUAUCUUGGAACAAAGUAAAGACAAGUUAAAAGGAUAACAACACUAUUCUCUCACACACACACACAGUAGGCUAGUUCCAGCUACAACCUCUUCUCCCUAGAAAAUACAAACGUACACAGUCAGUCGCUGUAAAAGUGCGGAUUACUCGCAGUUUCACUAACUUUUUAUUUGCCAUUUUCAUAUUCCUACUUUUGUUUUCCCAGUAAGAGACAAUAGAGCUUCUGUUUUCCCAGUAAGUAAGAGACAAUAGAGCUUCUGUUUUCCCAGUAAGUAAGACAAAUAGAGCUUCUGUUUUCCCAGUAAGACACAAUAGAGCUUCUGUUUUCCCAGUAAGUAAGACACAAUAGAGCUUCUGUUUUCCCAGUAAGUAAGAGACAAUAGAGCUUCUGUUUUCCCAGUAAGUAAGACACAAUAGAACACGGACGGUAAAAUUCAGAUGUCCUUUAUGAGGGAAGUUUAAAAAAAUCCUUAAUACAAAAAUUAAAAAUUAAAAGUGCAAAACCACAAAACUAAAAAUAAACAAAUGUGUUGUUUGUGUUCAUUUAAGCUCACCAUGGAAACUAAAAAAACAGUAGCAGCAAAUUAAAAAAAUAAUAAACAAAAAGCAACAAAAUUUGGACGUCUUGUAACACGUUAUCAGGAUAAACAACUCUGGGUUUAAUCUCUUUCCUCAAGAUAUCACUAUGGCAACACACACACACAGUUGGUCACAGUUUACAGGUGGAGGACAACAGGGUGGGAGGAGUCAAGUGUUAAAUCGUUACCUUAUUAAAACAAUCAACAGUGUCACGUAUGGUAAACAAAUAGGUAAACAAACUCAGACACGACACACAAACAGGUACAACUAGAGGCGAGAGGCUGUGAUCUGUAGUUUCCUAACUUUACCUAAGAAUAACAGGUAUUAUUUAAGCCCUAUUUCUCUCCCUCUUAUAAUGAUGACUCGUAUGAACCAAGAGGUUAGUUAUCCCGGUCUAUCUAGACGAGAACAUGAGAAUUAUCUCAUGAUAUUUAUAUGGAAGAAAGCAUUCCUUAGGGAAAAGGACAGAAACCAAAACAUGCUUGGUGGAGGAGAGAUCAGCAGUGAACCAGUGAUCGAGUAACAACAGGAGGAAUAUUAAUUCAUAUAGAAGAUCCUUUACCCCGGAAAAAAACAGCUCUCUCCCAGAAAUAAACAGAGGCUAGACACCUACCUGUCUGUCCCCAACACGCUGUCUGUCCCCAACACGCUGUCUGUCCCUCCACUGACUGUUAAUCCCUUACUGGUAGUGUCGGAGUCUGACUAGUGUAACAGCGCCAUCUACACAAAGCUCUAGGUAUUGCAAGUGUGUGUGUCUUACUGUGGGAGUGUCUGUCAGUCUCUCGGUCUAUGGCUCUCUGUGUGGUGGAUUUUUUUUCUAGUCUGAUUGAAAUCUGUUAAGUCUCUUUCCCUCUUCUGUAGUCUAGCUGGCCUCUACCUACCUCUACUGUAGUCUAGCUGGCCUCUACCUACCUCUACUGUAGUCUAGCUGGCCUCUACCUACCUCUACUGUAGUCUAGCUGGCCUCUACCUACCUCUACUGUAGUCUAGCUGGCCUCUACCUACCUCUCUCUACUAUAGUCUAGCUGGCCUCUCUACCUACCUCUCUACUAUAGUCUAGCUGGCCUCUACCUACCUCUACUGUAGUCUAGCUGGCCUCUACCUCCCUCUCUCUACUGUAGUCUAGCUGGCCUCUACCUACCCUCUCUACUAUAGUCUAGCUGGCCUCUACCUACCUCUACUGUAGUCUAGC